Molecule: signal recognition particle RNA, 291 nt
Filed under: Vombatus ursinus (common wombat)
Lineage: Eukaryota; Metazoa; Chordata; Mammalia; Diprotodontia; Vombatidae
Description: Metazoan signal recognition particle RNA (ENSVURG00010005538.1)
Rfam family: Metazoan signal recognition particle RNA
About the family: The signal recognition particle (SRP) is a universally conserved ribonucleoprotein. It is involved in the co-translational targeting of proteins to membranes.
Source: RNAcentral
GCUAUUGUACUCCUGUGAUCCACACUACUUGGGAAGCUGAGGCUGGUGGGUCACUUGAGCUCGGGAGCUCUGAAUGGUAGUAGGGCCAAAGCUGAUCAUGUAAUCUCACCAAGACUGGCACCAAUAUGGUGAUCCCUGGGAGCAAGGGACUACCAGGCUGCCUAAGUAUGGGCAGACUGGUCUAAGUCAGAAAUGUGGUAGGUCAAAGCUCCCAUGAUAAUCAGCAGUGGGGCUGGGCUCAUGAAUGGAUGCUGCACUUGCAGGCUGGGGGAGAUAGGGAGACCUAGUCCU